RNAcentral lists this ribosomal RNA (1240 nucleotides) under metagenome. RNAcentral's name for it is "bacterial LSU rRNA". It matches the Rfam family "Bacterial large subunit ribosomal RNA", at positions 1564 to 2815 of the family's 2925-position model. The record is from RNAcentral.
UGAAUACGAGACGCUAAGGCGUCGAAGUAGUGUAUGUCAUACUUCCAAGAAAAGCUUGCACUGUCAUAGAUAAAAAACGCCUGUACCAUAACCGACACAGGUGGGUAGGUAGAGUAUACUAAGGGGCGCGAGAUAACUCUCUCUAAGGAACUCGGCAAAAUAACUCCGUAACUUCGGGAGAAGGAGUGCCUUAUUCGUAAGGUUGCAAUAACAAGAUCCAAGCAACUGUUUAUCAAAAACACAGGUCUCCGCUAAGUCGUAAGACGAUGUAUGGGGGCUGACGCCUGCCCAGUGCCAGAAGGUUAAAGAAGUUGGUUAGCAUUUGCGAAGCUAGUGACUGAAGCCCUGGUGAACGGCGGCCGUAACAAUAACGGUCCUAAGGUAGCGAAAUUCCUUGUCGGGUAAGUUCCGACCCGCACGAAAGGCGUAAUGAUUUGGAUACUGUCUCGGAGAGGGGCUCGGUGAAAUAGACUUGUCUGUGAAGAUGCGGACUACCUGCACCAGGACAGAAAGACCCUAUGAAGCUUUACUGUAACUUGAAAUUGAAAUUGGACUUUAUUCGCGCAGUAUAGGUGGGAGGCGUUGAUUAUAAUCUUGCGGGAUUAUUGGAGCCAUCAGUGAGAUACCACUCUUGUAAUGUUAGAUUUCUAACUUUGAAUCAUUAUCUGGUCAAAGGACAGUUUCAGGCGGGCAGUUUGACUGGGGCGGUCGCCUCCCAAACGGUAACGGAGGCGUACAAAGGUUUCCUCUGAACGGUUAGAAAUCGUAUCUAGAGUGUAAAGGCAUAAGGAAGCUUGACUGUGAGACCUACAAGUCGAGCAGGGACGAAAGUCGGUCUUAGUGAUCUGACGGUACUGAGUGGAAAGGCCGUCACUCAACGGAUAAAAGUUACUCUAGGAUAACAGGCUGAUCUCCCCCAAGAGUUCACAUCGACGGGGAGGUUUGGCACCUCGAUGUCGGCUCAUCGCAUCCUGGGGCGGUAGUACGUCCCAAGGGUUGGGCUGUUCGCCCAUGAAAGCGGUACGCGAGCUGGGUUCAGAACGUCGUGAGACAGUUCGGUCCAUAUCCGGUGUAGGCGUUAGAAUAUUGAGAGGAGCCUUCUUUAGUACGAGAGGACCGAGAAGGACAUACCUCUGGUGUACAGUUAUCGUGCCAACGGUAAACGCUGGGUAGCUAUGUAUGGAGUGGAUAACCGCUGAAAGCAUCUAAGUGGGAAGCCCACCUCAAGAUAAGUAUUCCC